This 379-nucleotide ribosomal RNA is filed under the name uncultured Aquificales bacterium. Its description in RNAcentral is "bacterial SSU rRNA". It matches the Rfam family "Bacterial small subunit ribosomal RNA", at positions 9 to 389 of the family's 1533-position model. The record is from RNAcentral. Lineage: Bacteria; Pseudomonadati; Aquificota; Aquificia; Aquificales.
GAGUUUGAUCCUGGCUCAGCGCGAACGUUGGCGGCGUGCCUAACACAUGCAAGUCGUGGGGCAGCAGGCUACUGUCUUUUGGCAGUAGUGCUGGCGACCGGCGAACGGGUGAGUAACACGUAGCUUACCUACCCAUAAGUUGGGGAUAACAUCCCGAAAGGGGUGCUAAUACCCAAUAAUGAGGAGACUCCAAAGCCCUUAUGGGUGCCUAUGGAUGGGGCUGCGUCCCAUCAGCUUGUUGGUGAGGUAAUGGCUCACCAAGGCUACGACGGGUAACCGGUCUGAGAGGAUAACCGGUCACAGUGGGACUGAGACACGGCCCGCACCCCUACGGGGGGCAGCAGUGGGGAAUAUUGGGCAAUGGCUGAAAGGCUGACCC